RNAcentral lists this unclassified non-coding RNA (343 nucleotides) under soil metagenome. Its description in RNAcentral is "partial contains 5.8S ribosomal RNA, internal transcribed spacer 2, and large subunit ribosomal RNA". The stretch from base 1 to 120 matches the Rfam family "5.8S ribosomal RNA", at positions 35 to 154 of the family's 154-position model. The record is from RNAcentral.
GAUGAAGAACGUAGCGAAAUGCGAAAAGUAGUGUGAAUUGCAGAAUUCAGUGAAUCAUCGAAUCUUUGAACGCACAUUGCGCCCGCCAGCAUUCUGGCGGGCAUGCCUGUUCGAGCGUCAUUUCAACCCUCGACCUCCCUUUGGGGAAGUCGGCGUUGGGGACCGGCAGCACACCGCCGGCCCUGAAAUGGAGUGGCGGCCCGUCCGCGGCGACCUCUGCGUAGUAAACCAACUCGCACCGGAACCCCGACGUGGCCACGCCGUAAAACACCCAACUUCUGAACGUUGACCUCGAAUCAGGUAGGACUACCCGCUGAACUUAAGCAUAUCAAUAAGCGGAGGA